AAAGCUUUAAGUUAAAUAAUUAAACUAUUAACCUUCAAAGUUAAAAAAACACUAUAUGUAAGCUUUA
RNAcentral lists this transfer RNA (67 nucleotides) under Glaucias dorsalis. RNAcentral's name for it is "tRNA-Trp". The record is from RNAcentral. Lineage: Eukaryota; Metazoa; Arthropoda; Insecta; Hemiptera; Pentatomidae.